Molecule: ribosomal RNA, 459 nt
Filed under: uncultured bacterium
Lineage: Bacteria
Description: bacterial SSU rRNA
Rfam family: Bacterial small subunit ribosomal RNA
Source: RNAcentral
CUACGGGAGGCAGCAGUAAGGAAUAUUGGUCAAUGGGCGCAAGCCUGAACCAGCCACACCGCGUGAAGGAAGACGGCCCUAUGGGUUGUAAACUUCUUUUAUCAGGGAAGAAACCACCGAACGUGUUCGGUGCUGACGGUACCUGAGGAAUAAGGAUCGGCUAACUCCGUGCCAGCAGCCGCGGUAAUACGGAGGAUCCAAGCGUUAUCCGGAUUUAUUGGGUUUAAAGGGUGCGUAGGUGGAAUUGUAAGUCAGAGGUGAAAUCCAGCAGCUUAACUGUUGAAUUGCCUUUGAUACUGCUAUUCUUGAGUAUAGUUGGAGUUGGCGGAAUGUGACAUGUAGCGGUGAAAUGCGUAGAUAUGUCACAGAACACCGAUCGCGAAGGCAGCUAACUAAGCUAUCACUGACACUGAUGCACGAAAGCGUGGGGAGCAAACAGGAUUAGAAACCCUAGUAGCC